GAGCAAACAGAACAUGUGCUUGCUUUAGAGAGUCCUCAACUGACCCCUUUGGGGGUGUGCGUGGACGAGAGCCAGAUGGCUGCUUAUCGCAAGCCCUUGCCUCGUCGGAGAUUUACCUCUCGGAUCUCCAAUACGGCGUGCCGUUUCAGGUUCGUCAUACCGCUCUGGUCUUCUAUUCUAUCGAUUAUGAGUGAUGCCGAUUGCUGAGGAGCACGAACGAUGUGAUUAGGGCUUCGUAUAUCGAGAGAAUUCUCUACUACACCGGAAAGAUCCACGAGAUUCAUGAGGUCAGAGGCCGAGAUGGCGUCGCUGCCAAAAUGGAUUCCAUGGAUUUUUUUGGUUUGGGGGGGAGAAAGGAAUUACCAUUCAGUUUACUGCACUUGGAAUGCUUAUCAGAUUAACAUUAUUGAAACCCCUGAUCACGUUGAUUUCACCAUUGAGGUCGAGAGAGCUUUGCGUGUUCUUGAUGGAGCCAUCCUUGUCAUUUGUAGCGUUGGUGGUGUACAGAUUAGUCAGUGUUGGUGGUGUACAGAUCAGUCAGUCAAUUACUAUUGAUAGGCAAAUGAAAAAAUAUGAGGUUCCAAGAAUUGCAUUUACAAACAAACUUGAUCGAAUAGGAGCAGAUCAAUGUAAAGUUCUGAAUCAGCAUACUAUUUUUGGAAUGUAUUUCAUGUAUUAUUGGUAUGACUCAGAGGAACUACAUGCCGAAUGGGAAGUUCAUGGUUCCUGAAUAGCAAUUGCACUGCGGAAGGAAAUUUCAUGCGACUGAACAGCAAUUGCAAACCAAGUUGUAAUAUAUUGGGCCUGAACAGCAGGGCAGAAUGACAGCUUAAGAAUCUCAUGUUAUUACAAUACCAAUUGACUUGCAGAUGAGAUAUAUGUAGCUUACCUUUGAGAUCAAAAUAUUGUUAGUCAUGUUCGAUUUGAAUGGUAUUAGUAGUAGUUUAUUAAAAAAUGUUGGACACGACAAUAUUCAUGUAAGGUAUUGAAUGUACCUUAUUGAAAAUCUUAAGGUGGUGUUU
Rosa chinensis is the source of this 1022-nucleotide RNA transcript. It is a transcript of the gene named elongation factor G-1, mitochondrial, with no coding region annotated. The transcript is spliced from 3 exons. NCBI's taxonomy places the organism in Eukaryota, Viridiplantae, Streptophyta, Magnoliopsida, Rosales, Rosaceae. The record is from RefSeq and is a predicted model, not a curated record.